RNAcentral lists this ribosomal RNA (1486 nucleotides) under metagenome. RNAcentral describes it as "bacterial SSU rRNA". It matches the Rfam family "Bacterial small subunit ribosomal RNA". The record is from RNAcentral.
AGAGUUUGAUCCUGGCUCAGGAUGAACGCUGGCGGCGUGCUUAACACAUGCAAGUCGAGCGAGAAACUUAUAACGGAACCUUCGGGUGAAGUUAUAAGUGGACAGCGGCGGACGGGUGAGUAACGCGUGGGAAAUCUGCCUUAUGCAAGAGGAUAGCCUCGGGAAACUGGGAUUAAUACUCUAUAAUACUCUAGUACGGCAUCGUACAUGAGUCAAAACUCCGGUGGCAUAAGAUGAUCCCGCGUCCCAUUAGCCAGUUGGUGAGGGUAAUGGCCCACCAAGGCGACGAUGGGUAGCCGGCCUGAGAGGGUGAACGGCCACACUGGAACUGAGACACGGUCCAGACUCCUACGGGAGGCAGCAGUGGGGAAUAUUGCACAAUGGGGGAAACCCUGAUGCAGCGACGCCGCGUGAGUGAUGAAGGUUUUCGGAUCGUAAAGCUCUGUCCUAAGGGAAGAUGAUGACGGUACCUUAGGAGGAAGCCCCGGCUAACUACGUGCCAGCAGCCGCGGUAAUACGUAGGGGGCAAGCGUUAUCCGGAAUUAUUGGGCGUAAAGGGUACGUAGGCGGCCAAAUAAGUCAGGCGUGAAAGGCAUCGGCUCAACCGGUGUAAGCGUUUGAAACUGUUUGGCUUGAGUACAGGAGAGGAAAGUGGAAUUCCUAGUGUAGCGGUGAAAUGCGUAGAUAUUAGGAGGAACACCAGUGGCGAAGGCGACUUUCUGGACUGUAACUGACGCUGAGGUACGAAAGCGUGGGGAGCGAACAGGAUUAGAUACCCUGGUAGUCCACGCCGUAAACGAUGAGUGCUAGGUGUUGGGGGUCGAACCUCAGUGCCGCAGCUAACGCAUUAAGCACUCCGCCUGGGGAGUACGGUCGCAAGACUGAAGCUCAAAGGAAUUGACGGGGACCCGCACAAGUAGCGGAGCAUGUGGUUUAAUUCGACGCAACGCGAAGAACCUUACCAAGGCUUGACAUCCCCUUGACCGGUCUAGAGAUAGACCUUUCCCUUCGGGGACAAGGGUGACAGGUGGUGCAUGGUUGUCGUCAGCUCGUGUCGUGAGAUGUUGGGUUAAGUCCCGCAACGAGCGCAACCCCUGCCUUUAGUUGCCAUCAUUAAGUUGGGCACUCUAGAGGGACUGCCGGUGAUAAACCGGAGGAAGGUGGGGAUGACGUCAAAUCAUCAUGCCCCUUAUGCCUUGGGCUACACACGUGCUACAAUGGUAGGUACAACGGGGAGUGAAACCGCGAGGUGGAACAAAUCCUAAUAAGCCGAUCCCAGUUCGGAUUGCAGGCUGCAACUCGCCUGCAUGAAGCCGGAGUUACUAGUAAUCGCAGGUCAGCAUACUGCGGUGAAUACGUUCCCGGGUCUUGUACACACCGCCCGUCACACCACGAGAGUUGGUAACACCCGAAGUCAGUGAGCUAACCGUAAGGAGGCAGCUGCCGAAGGUGGGAUUGAUGAUUGGGGUGAAGUCGUAACAAGGUA